CGAACGGGUGAGUAAUGCGUGACCAACCUGCCCCAUGCUCCAGAAUAGCUCUUGGAAACGGGUGGUAAUGCUGGAUGCUCUAACUUGACGCAUGUCUUGUUGGGAAAGUGUUUAGUGGCAUGGGAUGGGGUCGCGUCCUAUCAGCUUGUAGGCGGGGUAAUGGCCCACCUAGGCUUCGACGGGUAGCCGGCCUGAGAGGGCGGACGGCCACAUUGGGACUGAGAUACGGCCCAGACUCCUACGGGAGGCAGCAGGC
RNAcentral lists this ribosomal RNA (256 nucleotides) under uncultured Gardnerella sp. RNAcentral describes it as "partial 16S ribosomal RNA". It matches the Rfam family "Bacterial small subunit ribosomal RNA", at positions 99 to 354 of the family's 1533-position model. The record is from RNAcentral. Lineage: Bacteria; Bacillati; Actinomycetota; Actinomycetes; Bifidobacteriales; Bifidobacteriaceae.